RNAcentral lists this long non-coding RNA (1242 nucleotides) under Sarcophilus harrisii (Tasmanian devil). RNAcentral describes it as "lncRNA (ENSSHAG00000026070.1)". Lineage: Eukaryota; Metazoa; Chordata; Mammalia; Dasyuromorphia; Dasyuridae. The record is from RNAcentral.
AAAUAAAAGGCUAUUAAAUUAAAAAAAAAAAAAAAAAAAAAAAAACAAAUGCUGCAAAAAAAAAAAAAAAAUGUAAAUUUCCACUCACCAUGAGGAGCAGACACCCAGAAUCCUCUCUUCUCCUGGAGUUGGAGUAUGGAAGGGUUUCCAUCCUUCUCCCAUAUUACCACUGAAAAGCUACAUAGACGCUUUUGGAAAUAACGUAGGAGUAGGAAUUCAUUACCCUUAAGAUCAUUAAGUUUAAGAAGCGGGGUAACUCUUUAUCAUGGAGAAGGGUUUUGAAAAUGUUGAUGCUCAUGAUUGAGAAUUCCAGAAAUGUGGUUUGGAGAAGAUACUGUUGCCCUUGUUGGUUUAAACGGUAAUGGCUAACCCUUUCACAGCCUUUAAGGGUUCCAUUCUUACUUGUUCCUUACAACGCCGCGAUGAUGGAGGUAGGAAAAACUGGCCCCAUCAGAGACUGGCGCAAUGCUAUCGCUUCAGGCUAAGAUCACGUGUCCCCAAUCUCAUCAACGCAUGCGCAAAUGACUCCUCAACGUUGACUGACUAGGCCCAAAUCCUUGGCUAAAAAAACCUCCCCUUUAACUGGAAGACCCUGUGAGGCGGCUGUCCUCACACAGUACUGUAGAUGACUCAGCAAAACUGAUGACAUAUAAGAAACCCACGUCACUGGGUACCAAAACCUCAUCCCGGUCAUUGCUGCUUCAGUUGAAAAAGCCACGUGUCCUCAGUGAUGCCCGCGGCGCCUGCGCAGAUGACCCCCAGCCAGUCGUGCCCUACCACGCUCUUGAAGGCACACCCUUGGACAAGAGAAUGACCUUAUUCCUCUCCUGUGCCCAACAAAAGACUAUGACGUGGGCCAGGACCGCCUUGCUUCCACCUAAAUCUGGGCCUUUGGAUUGACUGCUUCACCAUGUGAUGGGACUAUGAUAUACCUCCACGAUCCCACUAAGAAUUCUUCUCUGGUUCUCUGACAACGGUGACAUCAGAUUAUAAGGUGCUACUGCCAGCCUGAUGACCAUAAAGGAUUCUGUGGCCAGGCUGCUGCCCCUGUGGACCCAUGGGACCUGCACUGGCCUAGCCCGUGGUCAGCAGUGUGCUGGAAGAACUUAGCUCACCUUGGACACUCCCAUCCAAAUCCAGAUAGUGGGUCAAGGCUGUGCACCCCUGGAGCUCAAACCUGAUGAUGCACACGCUGUGAGAGGAGACUCCUGAAUGCCAGUACUUCAACCCCCUAUGUCACCU